RNAcentral lists this ribosomal RNA (439 nucleotides) under Gammarus lacustris. RNAcentral describes it as "bacterial SSU rRNA". It matches the Rfam family "Eukaryotic small subunit ribosomal RNA", at positions 52 to 414 of the family's 1831-position model. The record is from RNAcentral. Lineage: Eukaryota; Metazoa; Arthropoda; Malacostraca; Amphipoda; Gammaridae.
UGCAUGUCUAAGUCCAAGCUGUGUUCACACGGCGAGACCGCGGACGGCUCAUUAAAUCAGUCGUGGUCCAAAUGGGCCAGUGCAAAUCCUACUUGGAUAACUGUGGUAAUUCCAGAGCUAAUACAUGCAACUUAUAUCCCGAAGGCGAUGGUUGUGCUUGCUUGUCUUGCGCUCUCACUGCUCUGACGGAUGCUUUUAUUAGACCAAACCGCUGAGGACUUGGGGGUUCGCUCUCUUGUCUGACUCGUUAUAUGGUGACUCUGGAUAACCAAAUUAUGACAAGCGCACGUACUUCUCUUCUGAGCGAGACGGCGCUGCCACUUUCGAGUGUCUGCCUUAUCAGCUAUCAACCGUUCGUUAUGCGCGACCGAUGGCUUUGACGGGUAACGGGGAAUCAGGGUUCGAUUCCGGAGAGGCAGCCUGAGAGACGGCUACCACG